GCAAGGAGAACCUCUAUAAUUUACUGUGUUUCUCUGUCAUAGGGGAAAAAAGAAUUAAAACACAUAACCUAAACCAAAGCCUAGGAAGGCUGUGGGAGGCUUUCUGUUAAUGUCAGCGUGCACUAGAUCUGAUUGAUAUAUUUCUAAAAUAUAAAACAUUUCACACUGUGUGUUGAAGAGAUUUUGCAAGCAGUGGACAUGUUUAAUGAGACCUUUUAUCCUCUCUUUCCCAGAUUUGCCCUUGAAGAAAAUCCUCAAGCUGAAUGCUGCUGAACUGUGGACAGAGUGAGGGAUACUUCAAAUGUGAUGGAUUGAGGCACACACAUAAUGACCUGUUCCAGUCAGAAAUUGAGACAGUCUCAAAGGAAGCUGCCGGCCACAUCUAUAGAAUGAGACAGGUCGAACAGCUCGGUCCUGAGGCAUUUGCCAUGAUGAUUGUGUGAAGCCAGUACUCUCAUUUAGCCAGCUACUUCAUUUCUGGGGAGGCACAUUUCUUUUCAUCAGACAGAUUUCUCCACGACUGAACAAGCACCAACGAAACGGUAGGCGACAGAGGAAGGCUGUGUGUUUCAGUAGGUAAGGAGCUCACCUGGAGAGGAGGGAUACUGGGGUUCUUCCCUGUCUCUGCCAGUGACUCACUGUGUCCUUGUGUCCUUGUCUUAUUUUCCUCCCCUGUGUAAUGGGUUAAUGAUUUAUUCCUGUAUUUUGGAAGCUCUCUAUAGUCCGAGGAUGCCUGGGGGGCUAUGUGACAAUUUACUGCAAUAAUGAAACAGAUUAGUUGUUAACCACUUCCCAUCGUUUCUCCAGCAAAUGAAGUGUCUGCAAUAGCAGAGCCUUGUUGUAACUGACCCUCUGUUGAGUGCACAGGUAUGGGAAGAUUGCUUAGGUCUCUUGCCCUUCCAAAUCCAUCACUGGCCUUCUUAUGAGAUAACAUAAAUCCCUGUAUUAGACUCAUCAAACAGGGAGGAGCAAUGUUAGGUUUUGAGAAAAUAGUGACAAGAGCAGGUACCAUCAUGAUGGGGGAAAUUCAUCACCUCCUCUCAUAGGGUGACACGUGACUGCUCUCCAGAGCUAUCCUGGAGGAAGUAAGUUGGUUAAAGUACAGUACGUGGUAUCAUUUUUCAAUAAUUAAAUCAUGCAGAUAUGCUGACAUUGUCUGCUGACACUUGGUAGGCCAGUCUAACAGAUCAUCUGUGUAUGGGAUGCCACAACUGCUUGUGCGCUUGCAGUCAUGGCAAGGUUG
Non-coding RNA from Struthio camelus australis, 1243 nucleotides. The record is from RefSeq and is a predicted model, not a curated record. Lineage: Eukaryota; Metazoa; Chordata; Aves; Struthioniformes; Struthionidae.